UUCCUGCUUAAAGGUUAUUUUCAAAAGGUACUUUUAAUCUCACAACCCUCAUUGGAAUAUUUUUUUAACUUCCAGAAACAACGUUGUUGCUUAAUUCCCCAAACAUCUCACCUUUUUAUUCUCUGCGCGUUGGAGCAACGGCGUCUCACAGUAAAAAGGUCCAGGGGUCAAAUGUCAUUCAGAAACUUUGCUGUGUUGAGUGAGUCUGUGUGUUUUCCUUGCACAAAAAGCUUCCUUCCACAGUCCGAAAACAUACAUGUUAGGAUAUGUUUCCUCCUUAAAAUUAUGUCUGUACAAAUAUAAUUGUUGUGCAUCCAGGACAAAUAUCACAGCUCUUUAUAUCUUGGAUAGGACAUAAAAUACCUUUCAUUAGAGGAUUUUUAUAGAUAAUACUUUAGCUUUUUUCAAAUGUAUCUGAGCUUGAAUUUACUUUUUUUUUUAAUCAGUGGUACAUGAGGUCUUGGUUCCCUUUGAUUAUUUUAAUAUGAUGUGACACAGAGGCCAGUUUCUAUUAGUCAUUUCUUCAAAAAUAGGAAAUACACAAGAAAACAUGCCAUUCAAUAAAGCAUGAGUGUGCGUCAACCUUUAUAGGUCAGAAAAUGGCAACAAGAAAACAGCUCCUGGUCAAAGCUAAAAGCUACAGUCAGAUAAAUUAUUAAAACAGUAAAAAAAUAAAAAAUAACUGGAACUGUGACGACAGAAGUUUAACUUCCAUCACACACAGUGAGGACUGGGAGGGACAUAAAAACAUUUAGGAAGCCCCCCCCAUUAAAGAGCUGCAGUAAAGACAUUAUUUUUGUUCUUAUUGGCACUAGUUCCCUUUAUUCAUUAGCAGUUUGAGAGGAAGAAGGGCAAAGAGAAAACGGAAAGACAUGAAAUAAAUCAUUGAACCACAUAAGAUCAUUUUUGGCUCCUUUUGGCGUUUCUAAUGUCCAAUGACUCAAUAAUUCCUUUUUUUGUUGUUUUUACAGAAACACGUUUCACAAACACCCAUCCAUCCGAGGAACAUCUUAAGAAAUAUGGCUGGAAAUGUCCUGGCCCAGAGUUUGGAUCAGCACACUAAACAGUCAAAUAUGGAAAUAUAAGGCAAGCAGCAGAGAGAGUUUAGUUCAAAACAGUUUGGCUUCUUUGUGCUGGUUUAAGAUUUUGCAACUUUUAAAGGUAGAACAAAACUUCCAAAAUAGUUUGUGGAUCGUCCCAUUUCAGAUAGUUUCUUGAUUAACGUUUUGAUUCCCGCUCACAGGAGCACAAUCAGCACUCGGCGGUGUGUUUAUGUAGGCAGGCCAACAGGUGGGCAGGCCACACACUCACUCACUCACUCACACACCUCCACAUCUGAACCAUCUCUCUGAUUUAGCCUUCGUCUCCAGCCUACGCCUCCUCAUCGCUCUCUGCGGCCCGUUCUCCCCGUGUCUGUGAUUCAUCAGCGCGGCGCUCUGACAUUCAGGCUUCAGUCUGUGAGCCGCCCACUCCCACGCAGCGCCACGCAGGCUUGUAGAGCGCAGUCGGCUGUGGAGUGGAUCCAGCCCAUUCAGAACGAGGACGGCACUGAAGUGGACGUUAGUAACCCAGUAAACACGGAUCCUCCACCUGAGCUGUGGAUCUGUGCAGCUCCUCCGGUGGAACCAUAAACCUCUGGGCUGCUUCUCUUACCCAGGCAGUUGAGUUGAGCAGCCAUGUCUUGGUAGGUUUCCAGUUGAAACUUGCCUCAUAACUUCAUCAUAACUUUAUUAAUAACCAUGAUAUAUGAAAUAAAUUAAGGUGUAGUUUGUAGUUACAGUGUGAGAAGCUAUGAAUACUUUUAUAUAAUGUAUACAAGAAAAGAGAAAGAUAUUCACCUGUUUUCCUAUUCUCCGUUUGUUAACUGCUGCCACCUUGUGUUCACUCACUGAAUAACAUCUGACAUGAUGCAACAUUUAACAAUAAAAACACUUUUUAUUGUAAAAACAAUGUACAGAAAUCCCCAAACAAACUUUAUAACAUUUAUUUCGAUGCUGCUGUCGGACAGGAUUAGUCGCCAGAGUUUAAAAGAUUUACAGUUUUGUUCCACUGGCCUUCAAAGAUAUUCGACCGUCGACCUCGUGGAUACAAACCAAAAGUUCCUGCUGCAGAUCCAAGUAUGGGUUAUACACAACAAAUGAUUACAGAAGACUCUGUGGUUGCAGAUUACAUCACAUGAGAUAGGCCCGGCCUUUUCCCACUGAGGCUGAGCUAAUCCACGAGGGGAAUAGGAGUUAGAUUAGGUAAUCUGCUUGUGGAGUGUCAGACUUUGAAGGAUGGAUGCAGACGGUUUUUAGGAGAAAUUUCUUGUUUUGCCAUCCAGGGAUCAAAAGAUCACUUCACCCAUAGACAUGUUUAAGAUCAAAAAUCUUGAAUAUGAUUUUUCUUUUUAUGGCUUUUGAGGUUUUUAUUUAAUUUAAUUUUUUUUUUUUUUAUGUCCAAAGCCGCAGAUACAAAGUUCAUACAUUUGUCAAUACUUUGGAUGAAACGAUCCUCUCCGAACUCGACUCUGAUCCACAGAUUAUUUAGGGAGAUUAAACUAGUUACAUACAGUAUACAUGCUCUGGAUUACUUAAAAAUGAUUUCAUAGUAAACAUGAUGCACUGCUUACACUAAAGUUAGGCACAAUUAUGUGAUUUCACAGGUCUUUGCGGUUCACAAGGCGCUGCAGGUGAACCGGUCCUUCCUUUUAGAACUGACCUGCGGCAGAUGAACACAACCGGUCAUCAGACUGGUUACCCGAGAGCAGCCGGCGGGCCUGUACGGUAGAAAAACAUCUG
This is a long non-coding RNA of Poecilia latipinna (sailfin molly), 2780 nucleotides long. RefSeq lists it as uncharacterized. The transcript has 2 exons. The record is from RefSeq and is a predicted model, not a curated record. Lineage: Eukaryota; Metazoa; Chordata; Actinopteri; Cyprinodontiformes; Poeciliidae.